AAGAGUUAUUUAACUCUCAAAACCAUGUGAACUUACCUAUGUUGCCUCGGCGGGGAACCUACCCGGGAGCUACACUGUAGCUGUAGGCUUACCCGCCGGCGGACCAUUCAAACUCUUAUUUAUUUUGACACUUCUGAAUUAUUAUCAUAAUAAGUUUA
RNAcentral lists this unclassified non-coding RNA (158 nucleotides) under uncultured Ascomycota. Its description in RNAcentral is "sequence contains ITS1". The record is from RNAcentral. Lineage: Eukaryota; Fungi; Ascomycota.